This 204-nucleotide ribosomal RNA is filed under the name uncultured bacterium. Its description in RNAcentral is "partial 16S ribosomal RNA". It matches the Rfam family "Bacterial small subunit ribosomal RNA", at positions 117 to 331 of the family's 1533-position model. The record is from RNAcentral.
AUAGGAAUCUCCCCAAUGGUGUGGAAUACCUCAUCGAAAGAUGGGCUAAUACCGCAUGACCCAAGCAAUUGGAAAAGCGCAUAACUGCGCGCCGAUGGAUGAGCCUAUUUCCCAUCAGCUUGUUGGUAGGGUAAAAGCCUACCAAGGCUAUGACGGGUAGGGGGCGUGAGAGCGUGACCCCCCAGAAUGGGACUGAGAACGGCC